GAGUUUGAUCAUGGCUCAGAAUCAACGCUGGCGGCGUGCCUAACACAUGCAAGUCGCACGAGAAAGGGGCUUCGGCCCUGAGUAAAGUGGCGCACGGGUGAGUAACACGUGAAUGAUCUACCUCCGAGUGGGGAAUAACUGAGAGAAAUCUUAGCUAAUACCGCAUAACACUUACGAGUCAAAGCAGCAAUGCGCUUGGAGAGGAGUUCGCGGCAGAUUAGUUAGUUGGCGGGGUAAUGGCCCACCAAGACGAUGAUCUGUAUCCGGCCUGAGAGGGCGCACGGACACACUGGAACUGAAACACGGUCCAGACUCCUACGGGAGGCAGCAGUGGGGAAUUUUGCGCAAUGGGGGAAACCCUGACGCAGCAACGCCGCGUGGAGGAUGAAGUAUCUCGGUACGUAAACUCCUUUCGAUGGGGAAGAUAAUGACGGUACCUAUAGAAGAAGCCCCGGCUAACUUCGUGCCAGCAGCCGCGGUAAUACGAGGGGGGCAAGCGUUGUUCGGAAUUAUUGGGCGUAAAGGGUGCGUAGGCGGUUUGACAAGUCUU
RNAcentral lists this ribosomal RNA (550 nucleotides) under uncultured bacterium. Its description in RNAcentral is "bacterial SSU rRNA". It matches the Rfam family "Bacterial small subunit ribosomal RNA", at positions 9 to 591 of the family's 1533-position model. The record is from RNAcentral.